UACUUCUAAAAGGUAGUACCGACAAAAUAAUGCCUUUUUAAAAAUGUGCUGAUGCAUACUUGAUUGUUAGAUAUGUUUUUAUUUUACUCCAAGUACGGGAGGGGGCCCACCACCAUAUUCUUAAAGCCGGGCCCACGUGUACCUUGCUACGCCACUAGGCCUACAUAAAUAAUAGGCCCGUUAAAACACAUUAAGACUACACAAA
Molecule: non-coding RNA, 205 nt
Organism: Biomphalaria pfeifferi
Lineage: Eukaryota; Metazoa; Mollusca; Gastropoda; Planorbidae
Source: the annotation of a GenBank genome assembly